This 539-nucleotide long non-coding RNA is filed under the name Mytilus galloprovincialis (Mediterranean mussel). Lineage: Eukaryota; Metazoa; Mollusca; Bivalvia; Mytilida; Mytilidae. The record is from RNAcentral.
AGAAAACCUACAUUUUAUAAAACUUAUAUUCUGAUUAUGUAUUUAUUUCAAUAUUCUAACUAACAGAUGUCUUUUUAUUUACAAAAUAAGUAUGUAUUUAUGAAGUUUUUGAAAUUAGACUUGUAGGUUGAAAAAUGGCACGGUCACCAUACGUCAUGUUAUAGUUGUGAAAAACAAGUAUGGUAAAACCAUACAUUUUUGCAAAAAAUAAGAAUAUCAUCUCGGACGAAAUAUUUUUUGAUGAACAACCUGACACUGUUCACACUAGUUUCAAGUUUGAUUGUCGUUGUAGUUUUUUUUAACAUUUUUAAAUAUCAUUAUUCCUUUUUGGUUUGAUUCGAACAUCAACAAUUUUAUUAGACUCUAGACAUUUAAAUAUUUUUGCCUCAAACAUUCCAUAGGAGACAUUAAUUUUCGUAAUAGGCAUCUUGUGCAUGAACAUUGGUACCGUGUAUGUUGUAUUUUGCGACACCAGAAAAAAAUUACGUUACAUAGGAUCAAAUAGUGAAAAAAUUAAGUCAAUUGUAGUAAUAUAUAUA